CCUACGGGAGGCUGCAGUAGGGAAUAUUGCUCAAUGGGGGCAACCCUGAAGCAGCAACGCCGCGUGAAGGAUGAAGGUUUUCGGAUUGUAAACUCCUUUUGUUAGAGAAGAUAAUGACGGUAUCUAACGAAUCAGCACCGGCUAUCUCCGUGCCAGCAGCCGCGGUAAUACGGAGGGUGCAAGCGUUACUCGGAAUCACUGGGCGUAAAGAGCGCGUAGGUGGGAUAGCAAGUCAGAUGUGAAAACCUAUGGCUUAACCAUAGAACUGCAUUUGAAACUGGUAUUCUAGAGUAUGGGAGAGGUAGGUGGAAUUCUAGGUGUAGGGGUAAAAUGCGUAGAGAUCAAGAGGAAUACUCAUUGCGAAGGCGACCUGCUAGAACAUAACUGACGCUGAUGCGCGAAAGCGUGGGGAGCAAACAGGAUUAGAUACCCCGGUAGUC
This 440-nucleotide ribosomal RNA is filed under the name uncultured bacterium. Its description in RNAcentral is "partial 16S ribosomal RNA". It matches the Rfam family "Bacterial small subunit ribosomal RNA", at positions 338 to 795 of the family's 1533-position model. The record is from RNAcentral.